GACGGAGAAGGCUAUGUUAGCCGGGCGACGGUUGUCCCGGUUUAAGCAUGUAGGCUGGUUGUCCAGGCAAAUCCGGAUAAUCAAGGCUGAGGUGUGAUGACGAGGCACUACGGUGCUGAAGUAACAAAUGCCCUGCUUCCAGGAAAAGCCUCUAAGCAUCAGGUAACAUCAAAUCGUACCCCAAACCGACACAGGUGGUCAGGUAGAGAAUACCAAGGCGCUUGAGAGAACUCGGGUGAAGGAACUAGGCAAAAUGGUGCCGUAACUUCGGGAGAAGGCACGCUGGUGUGUAGGUGAAGUCCCUGCGGAUGGAGCUGAGACCAGUCGAAGAUACCAGCUGGCUGCAACUGUUUAUUAAAAACACAGCACUGUGCAAACACGAAAGUGGACGUAUACGGUGUGACGCCUGCCCGGUGCCGGAAGGUUAAUUGAUGGGGUUAUCCGUAAGGAGAAGCUCUUGAUCGAAGCCCCGGUAAACGGCGGCCGUAACUAUAACGGUCCUAAGGUAGCGAAAUUCCUUGUCGGGUAAGUUCCGACCUGCACGAAUGGCGUAAUGAUGGCCAGGCUGUCUCCACCCGAGACUCAGUGAAAUUGAACUCGCUGUGAAGAUGCAGUGUACCCGCGGCAAGACGGAAAGACCCCGUGAACCUUUACUAUAGCUUGACACUGAACAUUGAGCCUUGAUGUGUAGGAUAGGUGGGAGGCUUUGAAGCGUGGACGCCAGUCUGCGUGGAGCCAACCUUGAAAUACCACCCUUUAAUGUUUGAUGUUCUAACGUUGGCCCCUNACCGGGGUUGCGGACAGUGUCUGGUGGGUAGUUUGACUGGGGCGGUCUCCUCCCAAAGCGUAACGGAGGAGCACGAAGGUUAGCUAAUCCUGGUCGGACAUCAGGAGGUUAGUGCAAUGGCAUAAGCUAGCUUGACUGCGAGCGUGACGGCGCGAGCAGGUGCGAAAGCAGGUCAUAGUGAUCCGGUGGUUCUGAAUGGAAGGGCCAUCGCUCAACGGAUAAAAGGUACUCCGGGGAUAACAGGCUGAUACCGCCCAAGAGUUCAUAUCGACGGCGGUGUUUGGCACCUCGAUGUCGGCUCAUCACAUCCUGGGGCUGAAGUAGGUCCCAAGGGUAUGGCUGUUCGCCAUUUAAAGUGGUACGCGAGCUGGGUUUAGAACGUCGUGAGACAGUUCGGUCCCUAUCUGCCGUGGGCGCUGGAGAAUUGAGGGGGGCUGCUCCUAGUACGAGAGGACCGGAGUGGACGCAUCACUGGUGUUCGGGUUGUCAUGCCAAUGGCACUGCCCGGUAGCUAAAUGCGGAAGAGAUAAGUGCUGAAAGCAUCUAAGCACGAAACUUGCCCCGAGAUGAGUUCUCCCUGAGACUUUAAGUCUCCUGAAGGAACGUUAAAGACGAUGACGUUGAUAGGCCGGGUGUGUAAGCGCAGCGAUGCGUUGAGCUAACCGGUACUAAUGAACCGUGAGGCUUAACCUU
RNAcentral lists this ribosomal RNA (1480 nucleotides) under Klebsiella pneumoniae. RNAcentral's name for it is "bacterial LSU rRNA". It matches the Rfam family "Bacterial large subunit ribosomal RNA", at positions 1471 to 2925 of the family's 2925-position model. Lineage: Bacteria; Pseudomonadati; Pseudomonadota; Gammaproteobacteria; Enterobacterales; Enterobacteriaceae. The record is from RNAcentral.